AUUUAUAUAGUUUAUUUAAAACAUUAUAUUUUCACUAUAAAAAAAGAUUUUAUUUAUUAAUU
Molecule: transfer RNA, 62 nt
Filed under: Cryptolaemus montrouzieri
Lineage: Eukaryota; Metazoa; Arthropoda; Insecta; Coleoptera; Coccinellidae
Description: tRNA-Glu
Source: RNAcentral